RNAcentral lists this ribosomal RNA (497 nucleotides) under uncultured bacterium. RNAcentral's name for it is "partial 16S ribosomal RNA". It matches the Rfam family "Bacterial small subunit ribosomal RNA", at positions 28 to 507 of the family's 1533-position model. The record is from RNAcentral.
GAUGAACGCUGGCGGCGUGCCUAAUACAUGCAAGUCGAGCGAACAGACGAGGAGCUUGCUCCUCUGACGUUAGCGGCGGACGGGUGAGUAACACGUGGAUAACCUACCUAUAAGACUGGGAUAACUUCGGGAAACCGGAGCUAAUACCGGAUAAUAUAUUGAACCGCAUGGUUCAAUAGUGAAAGACGGUUUUGCUGUCACUUAUAGAUGGAUCCGCGCCGCAUUAGCUAGUUGGUAAGGUAACGGCUUACCAAGGCAACGAUGCGUAGCCGCACUGAGAGGGUGAUCGGCCACACUGGAACUGAGACACGGUCCAGACUCCUACGGGAGGCAGCAGUAGGGAAUCUUCCGCAAUGGGCGAAAGCCUGACGGAGCAACGCCGCGUGAGUGAUGAAGGUCUUCGGAUCGUAAAACUCUGUUAUUAGGGAAGAACAAAUGUGUAAGUAACUAUGCACGUCUUGACGGUACCUAAUCAGAAAGCCACGGCUAACUACGUG